AGAAUACUCAAGCUAUGCAUCCAACGCGUUGGGAGCUCUCCCAUAUGGUCGACCUGCAGGCGGCCGCGAAUUCACUAGUGAUUCGCCCGCCGCGCCCCGCGCCCGGCCCGCCGCCCCCGCCCGGGCAGCAGUGGGGAUCUCCGCAAUGGGCGAAAGCCUGACGGAGCAACGCCGCGUGAGGGAUGAAGGCCUCUGGGCUGUAAACCUCUUUUCUCAAGGAAGAAGAUAUGACGGUACUUGAGGAAUAAGCCACGGCUAAUUCCGUGCCAGCAGCCGCGGUAAUACGGGAGUGGCAAGCGUUAUCCGGAAUUAUUGGGCGUAAAGCGAGCGUAGGCGGUUAAUCAAGUUGGUGGUGAAAGCCCAGAGCUUAACUCUGGAACUGCCAUCAAUACUGAUUGACUAGAGAUUGGUAGAGGAAAAUGGAAUUCCUAGUGUAGAGGUGAAAUUCGUAGAUAUUGGGAAGAACACCAGUGGCGAAGGCGAUUUUCUGGGCCAAUUCUGACGCUGAGGUUCGAAAGCGUGGGUAGCAAACAGGAUUAGAUACCCUGGUAGUCCACGCCGU
Molecule: ribosomal RNA, 562 nt
Filed under: uncultured bacterium
Lineage: Bacteria
Description: bacterial SSU rRNA
Rfam family: Bacterial small subunit ribosomal RNA
Source: RNAcentral